GUCCCUGUAGUGCAAUGGAUAGCGCGUUGGACUUCUAAUUCAAAGGUGGUGGGUUAGAAUCCCACCUGGGAUG
Molecule: non-coding RNA, 73 nt
Organism: Trichonephila clavata
Lineage: Eukaryota; Metazoa; Arthropoda; Arachnida; Araneae; Nephilidae
Source: the annotation of a GenBank genome assembly